AUCAUACAGACUGCGACUAGUAACUGAGUGGUUUAUAUAGCGUUUAUAGCAAACACAAACUACAGCUAGGUGUAUACUACUAAUGAUUAGUUAAGCGGAUGAUUUCAGCAAUUUACAGCAAUUUUUCCAAUAAGUCGAUCCAUAUAUCUUGUCAAGUGCGCCAAUUAUUGUCGGUCCUUCAAUUCCAAUUUACUGUGACGGUGUUUUGGAAGCUACAACAGUCAGUGUUUACGUGCUUUUUUUCUGUCUUGGGACGGUUGAUCGAGGCCUUAGUAGUUAAGUUUCACUGGGGCUUUGGAUCGAGGCCGGUUGUAUAUUCUUCCACUGAAACAGAUCCUGUAAGGAUUCCACCAAAUACGCUCGCCACAGAACAGGCACUAUGGAGACCUUAGAAUAUGUUUCUCACAGUAGAACACUUUUGAGCACAAUUUGCAAAUCUUACGCCAAUUCCAGACUAAUCUGAUUGCAUAUGAAAUCCCUUCCGUUUCCUGAAUGGAACCACAGCUUUUCCCGAUGGAUGAUUUCCCAACGAUUUGCACUUUGAGUAUGGUAAAGUUGUCACACACCGAAAUGGAACGGUCCGAAGAG
This is a long non-coding RNA of Aedes aegypti (yellow fever mosquito), 588 nucleotides long. RefSeq lists it as uncharacterized. NCBI's taxonomy places the organism in Eukaryota, Metazoa, Arthropoda, Insecta, Diptera, Culicidae. The transcript is spliced from 2 exons. The record is from RefSeq and is a predicted model, not a curated record.